Molecule: ribosomal RNA, 425 nt
Filed under: uncultured bacterium
Lineage: Bacteria
Description: partial 16S ribosomal RNA
Rfam family: Bacterial small subunit ribosomal RNA
Source: RNAcentral
GUUAGGAAUAUUGGACAAUGGGCGCAAGCCUGAUCCAGCCAUGCCGCGUGAGUGAUGAAGGCCUUCGGGUUGUAAAGCUCUUUAGUCCACGAAUAUAAUGACUGUAGUGGAAGAAUAAGCCCCGGCUAACUUCGUGCCAGCAGCCGCGGUAAUACGAAGGGGGCGAGCGUUAUUCGGAAUCACUGGGCGUAAAGCGUGCGUAGGCUGUUUUGUAAGUCAGAAGUGAAAGCCCAGGGCUUAACCCUGGAAUUGCUUUUGAAACUACAAGACUCGAAUUCGGGAGAGGAUAGAGGAAUUGUCAGUGUAGCAGUGAAAUGCGUAGAUAUUGACAGGAACACCAGUGGCGCAAGCGGCUAUCUGGACCGAUAUUGACGCUGAGGCACGAAAGCGUGGGGAGCAAACAGGAUUAGAUACCCCGGUAGUCC